CUGGCGGCAAGCUUAACACAUGCAAGUCGAACGGAUUAUUCUUUAUAGCUUGCUAUGAAGAAUAAUUAGUGGCAGACGGGUGAGUAAUGCAUAGGAAUCUACCUAGUAGUAUGGGAUAGCCACUAGAAAUGGUGGGUAAUACUGUAUAAUCCCUGCGGGGGAAAGAUUUAUCGCUAUUAGAUGAGCCUAUGUUAGAUUAGCUAGUUGGUAGGGUAAAGGCCUACCAAGGCGAUGAUCUAUAGCUGGUCUGAGAGGAUGAUCAGCCACACUGGAACUGAGAUACGGUCCAGACUCCUACGGGAGGCAGCAGUGGGGAAUAUUGGACAAUGGGCGCAAGCCUGAUCCAGCUAUGCCGCGUGAGUGAGGAAGGCCUUAGGGUUGUAAAACUCUUUCAGUAGGGAAGAUAAUGACGGUACCUACAGAAGAAGUCCCGGCAAACUCCGUGCCAGCAGCCGCGGUAAUACGGAGGGGGCAAGCGUUGUUCGGAAUUAUUGGGCGUAAAGGGCAUGUAGGCGGUUCGGUAAGUUAAAGGUGAAAUGCCAGGGCUUAACCCUGGAGCUGCUUUUAAUACU
Molecule: ribosomal RNA, 572 nt
Filed under: Anaplasma phagocytophilum
Lineage: Bacteria; Pseudomonadati; Pseudomonadota; Alphaproteobacteria; Rickettsiales; Anaplasmataceae
Description: bacterial SSU rRNA
Rfam family: Bacterial small subunit ribosomal RNA
Source: RNAcentral